This 806-nucleotide ribosomal RNA is filed under the name uncultured bacterium. RNAcentral describes it as "bacterial SSU rRNA". It matches the Rfam family "Bacterial small subunit ribosomal RNA", at positions 1 to 815 of the family's 1533-position model. The record is from RNAcentral.
GAAUUCGCCCUUAGAGUUUGAUCCUGGCUCAGGACGAACGCUGGCGGCGCGCCUAACACAUGCAAGUCGAACGAGAAAUGAGGAGCUUGCUCUUCAAAUCGAGUGGCGAACGGGUGAGUAACGCGUGAGGAACCUGCCUCAAAGAGGGGGACAACAGUUGGAAACGACUGCUAAUACCGCAUAAGCCCACGGCUCGGCAUCGAGCAGGGGGAAAAGGAGCAAUCCGCUUUGAGAUGGCCUCGCGUCCGAUUAGCUAGUUGGUGAGGUAACGGCCCACCAAGGCGACGAUCGGUAGCCGGACUGAGAGGUUGAACGGCCACAUUGGGACUGAGACACGGCCCAGACUCCUACGGGAGGCAGCAGUGGGGAAUAUUGCACAAUGGGGGAAACCCUGAUGCAGCGACGCCGCGUGGAGGAAGAAGGUCUUCGGAUUGUAAACUCCUGUUGUUGAGGAAGAUAAUGACGGUACUCAACAAGGAAGUGACGGCUAACUACGUGCCAGCAGCCGCGGUAAAACGUAGGUCACAAGCGUUGUCCGGAAUUACUGGGUGUAAAGGGAGCGCAGGCGGGAGAACAAGUUGGAAGUGAAAUCCAUGGGCUCAACCCAUGAACUGCUUUCAAAACUGUUUUUCUUGAGUAGUGCAGAGGUAGGCGGAAUUCCCGGUGUAGCGGUGGAAUGCGUAGAUAUCGGGAGGAACACCAGUGGCGAAGGCGGCCUACUGGGCACCAACUGACGCUGAGGCUCGAAAGUGUGGGUAGCAAACAGGAUUAGAUACCCUGGUAGUCCACACCGUAAACGAUGAUUA